RNAcentral lists this ribosomal RNA (275 nucleotides) under uncultured prokaryote. RNAcentral's name for it is "partial 16S ribosomal RNA". It matches the Rfam family "Bacterial small subunit ribosomal RNA", at positions 524 to 798 of the family's 1533-position model. The record is from RNAcentral.
UUCAGAGGUCCCGAGCGUUGUUCGGAUUUACUGGGCGUAAAGGGAGCGUAGGCGGACUUUUAAGUGAGAUGUGAAAUACCCGGGCUCAACUUGGGUGCUGCAUUUCAAACUGGAAGUCUAGAGUGCAGGAGAGGAGAAUGGAAUUCCUAGUGUAGCGGUGAAAUGCGUAGAGAUUAGGAAGAACACCAGUGGCGAAGGCGAUUCUCUGGACUGUAACUGACGCUGAGGCUCGAAAGCGUGGGGAGCAAACAGGAUUAGAUACCCCCGUAGUCCCU